CUACGGGGUGCUCCAGUGGGGAAUAUUGGACAAUGGGCGAAAGCCUGAUCCAGCCAUGCCGCGUGUGUGAAGAAGGUCUUCGGAUUGUAAAGCACUUUAAGUUGGGAGGAAGGGCAGUAAGUUAAUACCUUGCUGUUUUGACGUUACCAACAGAAUAAGCACCGGCUAACUUCGUGCCAGCAGCCGCGGUAAUACGAAGGGUGCAAGCGUUAAUCGGAAUUACUGGGCGUAAAGCGCGCGUAGGUGGUUUUGUAAGUUGGAGGUGAAAUCCCCGGGCUCAACCUGGGAACUGCCUCCAAAACUGCAUGACUAGAGUACGGUAGAGGGUGGUGGAAUUUCCUGUGUAGCGGUGAAAUGCGUAGAUAUAGGAAGGAACACCAGUGGCGAAGGCGACCACCUGGACUGAUACUGACACUGAGGUGCGAAAGCGUGGGGAGCAAACAGGAUUAGAUACCCCUGUAGUC
RNAcentral lists this ribosomal RNA (464 nucleotides) under uncultured bacterium. RNAcentral describes it as "partial 16S ribosomal RNA". It matches the Rfam family "Bacterial small subunit ribosomal RNA", at positions 339 to 795 of the family's 1533-position model. The record is from RNAcentral.